Molecule: ribosomal RNA, 254 nt
Filed under: uncultured bacterium
Lineage: Bacteria
Description: partial 16S ribosomal RNA
Rfam family: Bacterial small subunit ribosomal RNA
Source: RNAcentral
UACGAAGGGAGCUAGCGUUGUUCGGAUUUACUGGGCGUAAAGGGCGCGUAGGCGGUCAGCACAAGUCAGUUGUGAAAUCUCCGGGCUUAACUCGGAAAGGUCAACUGAUACUGUGCGACUAGAGUGCGGAAGGGGCAACUGGAAUUCUCGGUGUAGCGGUGAAAUGCGUAGAUAUCGAGAGGAACACCUGCGGCGAAGGCGGGUUGCUGGGCCGACACUGACGCUGAUGCGCGAAAGCCAGGGGAGCGAACGGG